This 925-nucleotide long non-coding RNA is filed under the name Rhinolophus ferrumequinum (greater horseshoe bat). RNAcentral's name for it is "lncRNA (ENSRFEG00010009050.1)". The record is from RNAcentral. Lineage: Eukaryota; Metazoa; Chordata; Mammalia; Chiroptera; Rhinolophidae.
CUCUGGGUCCCCAGGCGGAACACAAGACUUGAGAGAAUCAUACUCGAAGCAUCUUUGUGGAAAGGACCGCAGUGUCACUCAGGAACUCCAACUCUGCCAUCAGGAGCAGGAUCUAACACCACCCAACAAGUGCUCAGCUCCUGCACCGGAUUUCCACAAGUCCAAGAACAGAAAGGGAACACGGUGUGGUGCUGGGGCACGUGGCCUCACUUCAGGAGGGCUUUAGGAAUCAGGAGACACCAGCUUGUCGAGUUUCCAUGGAUGGAUAUGCACCCACGUCACCCUCAUUGCCACGGGAAUCCAGACUCUCCAAAAAAUGGUCCUGGCCUCUUAGAGUUCACCCUCCUGGCAUUGAACUUGAGAGGUUUACAGAGCAGCAGAAAGAACACGGAAGUUCACGAAUCCUUCACUCUCCUCAAGCUUCCACAGCGGGUAUGGUCAGCUCCUGAGACAUCCUGUUGGUCGCAGUCUGAGGAAGAUUAUAUUGUUCACACAUGCGACAGCACGUUCCUCCUCAGACGCCACUUCUGGGGGCUGGAGCAAACUCACCACCAGCUUUAUCAGGCUGUCCAGGAACCUGUGGGCCCAUCGGGUGGAAUAAGGUUGCCCUCUGUUAUGUCCUGUUUUGGAAGCCUACUUAAGGCAUGAGGCCACACUUGUAAUAAAACGCCAAGCAACCCAAAGCAGGCAACAAAAUCAUUUAUUCUUAAGUGGUCCCAACUUCGUAGCUACCCAUGGCGCUAUGACUUUUGGGGAAAUCUCUGAAAGCUCUAUCUGAAAACUCUCAAAAUUAUUGCGUCAGCUAGGAGAUCAUUUCUGAACCUCAUUUUUAACAGGCAUGAGACACCAGCGUAACGGAACACACACUCUGUACUAAUGCCAUUUAAUGUACUGAUCACAUAAUAAAAUGUGCUUAUUCUUCCAG